This 421-nucleotide ribosomal RNA is filed under the name uncultured bacterium. RNAcentral's name for it is "bacterial SSU rRNA". It matches the Rfam family "Bacterial small subunit ribosomal RNA", at positions 356 to 774 of the family's 1533-position model. The record is from RNAcentral.
AAGGAAUAUUGGACAAUGGAGGCAACUCUGAUCCAGCCAUGCCGCGUGAAGGAAUAAGGCCCUAUGGGUUGUAAACUUCUUUUAGACGGGACAAAACCCCUUUACGUGUAAAGGGUUGAUGGUACUGUCAGAAUAAGCAUCGGCUAACUUCGUGCCAGCAGCCGCGGUAAUACGAAGGAUGCAAGCGUUAUCCGGAAUCAUUGGGUUUAAAGGGUGCGUAGGCGGACUGAUAAGUCAGUGGUGAAAGCCUGCAGCUUAACUGCAGAAUUGCCAUUGAUACUGUUAGUCUUGAGUACAGUUGAGGUAGGCGGAAUGUGUCAUGUAGCGGUGAAAUGCUUAGAUAUGACACAGAACACCGAUUGCGAAGGCAGCUUGCUAAGCUGUAACUGACGCUGAGGCACGAAAGCGUGGGGAGCAAACA